Long non-coding RNA from Myxocyprinus asiaticus (Chinese sucker), 1119 nucleotides. RefSeq lists it as uncharacterized. Lineage: Eukaryota; Metazoa; Chordata; Actinopteri; Cypriniformes; Catostomidae. The record is from RefSeq and is a predicted model, not a curated record. The transcript has 3 exons.
UUCUGUCUUGGAAAGCCACCAGCUCUGGGUCUUCCAGACUACAGCAAGCCUUUCCAUUUGUACAUGCACGAGGCUGCAGGGACGGCUGCCGCAAUCCUUGACCAAGAGCACGGGGGCUCUUAUCGCCCAGUGGCAUAUUUAUCUAAAACAUUGGAUUCCGUUGCAAAGGGACUCCCUGGUUGUCUGCGAGCAGUGGUACAGGAUGCAGAACGAGUUGUGCUUUCACAUCCUCUGACUGUGCACACAACUCACCAGGGCACUUUUGAGGCUGACUCGCAUGAUUGUAUGGAGAAAAUACAGGUGUCCACUGCAUGCAGACAGGAUGAUUCUGCAUCCGCUCUGCAAGAGAGGAGACACUGAAAAGCCGACUCACCCAUUUGUUCCAAAUUACCAGGUCCUAGUUAAGUGUCUGAAACCAACGAAGCUUGGUGAGCCCAAGUAUCUGGGUACAACAAUGGUUCUGGCGGUAACCAGGACAGGGGUACUGACAGAUCUGUAACCACAGUGGAUACACGCAAGCCAUGUGAAGCCUGCACCUGGGGAGAGCCUGACUAUUUCGAAAGCGAACAGUGAAAGUACUGGAGGAGAUGAACAUGCAGCGCCAGUGCCUAACCAGGAACUUGUGAAUUAGAAGGGACAAAGAAUGAAGUUCUUUAUUAUGUCGCUCUAUCUUAUGGCAGUAGUCGAAGCACGUAUAUCUAGUGGUAAUGACACAUGGAUAGAUGAUGGUGAUGCACCACAUACCUACGCUACCAAUUUAUGGUGGAAACUAGCUAACUUCAUGGCCAAAAAUACGGGAAAGAAGGGUAGUUUUUAUGUAUGUACGCAUAUGCCGCAUAGUGCAUCUAUACCAGCGGUAAAGGUAACACCGGUAAAAGAACAGGAGCUGGUGUGCUUACUAGGAGUUGUAUAACUAUGUAACCCCAUAACACCUACUAAACAAGGAACACGAGUGAUAGGAGACCGAUAUUGGCAAUGUGGUCAUAAUUUGUACACUGCUCUGCCGGAAUUAUGGACAGGCAGAUGUGCCAUGGUAGAAUUAAGUGACUACAACAUGGUGGUCCGAGCUAUUGAGAAAACAACAAACAGAAGAAGGAGAAACAGUCUAAAUGGACCCAA